GACCAGGUGGCCGAGUGGUUAAGGCGUUGGACAGCUAUUUCAAUGUGCUCUGCACGCGUGGGUUCGAAUCCCAUCCUCGUCG
RNAcentral lists this transfer RNA (82 nucleotides) under Blattella germanica (German cockroach). Its description in RNAcentral is "tRNA-Ser (GCT) (tRNA-Ser-GCT-36-1)". It matches the Rfam family "tRNA". From Rfam's summary of the family: Transfer RNA (tRNA) molecules are approximately 80 nucleotides in length. Their secondary structure includes four short double-helical elements and three loops (D, anti-codon, and T loops). Lineage: Eukaryota; Metazoa; Arthropoda; Insecta; Blattodea; Blattellidae. The record is from RNAcentral.